This 511-nucleotide ribosomal RNA is filed under the name uncultured Glomeraceae. RNAcentral describes it as "SSU rRNA". It matches the Rfam family "Eukaryotic small subunit ribosomal RNA", at positions 569 to 1082 of the family's 1831-position model. The record is from RNAcentral. Lineage: Eukaryota; Fungi; Glomeromycota; Glomeromycetes; Glomerales; Glomeraceae.
AGCAGCCGCGGUAAUUCCAGCUCCAAUAGCGUAUAUUAAAGUUGCUGCAGUUAAAAAGCUCGUAGUUGAAUUUCGGGACCAAUAUGUCGGUCGUGCCUCGGUACGUACUGGCAUCGUUGGUUUCUCCCUUCUGACGAACCAUGAUGUCAUUUAUUUGGUGUCGUGGGGAGUCAGGACUGUUACUUUGAAAAAUUAGAGUGUUUAAAGCAGGCUCACGCUUGAAUACAUUAGCAUGGAAUAAUGAAAUAGGACGUUUGAUUCUAUUUUGUUGGUUUCUAGGAUCGACGUAAUGAUUAAUAGGGAUAGUUGGGGGCAGUUAGUAUUCAAUUGUCAGAGGUGAAAUUCUUGGAUUUAUUGAAGACUAACUACUGCGAAAGCAUUUGCCAAGGAUGUUUUCAUUAAUCAAGAACGAAAGUUAGGGGAUCGAAGACGAUCAGAUACCGUCGUAGUCUUAACCAUAAACUAUGCCGACUAGGGAUCGGGAUGGAUUGUUUAAUUUUUAAUGUACUCA